Molecule: ribosomal RNA, 423 nt
Filed under: uncultured Gammaproteobacteria bacterium
Lineage: Bacteria; Pseudomonadati; Pseudomonadota; Gammaproteobacteria
Description: bacterial SSU rRNA
Rfam family: Bacterial small subunit ribosomal RNA
Source: RNAcentral
CUCAACCUGGGAAUGGCAUUCGAUACUGUCCAGCUAGAGUCUGGUAGAGGGAAGUGGAAUUUCCGGUGUAGCGGUGAAAUGCGUAGAUAUCGGAAGGAACACCAGUGGCGAAGGCGACUUCCUGGACCAAGACUGACGCUGAGGUGCGAAAGCGUGGGUAGCAAACAGGAUUAGAUACCCUGGUAGUCCACGCCGUAAACGUUGAGAACUAGCCGUUGGACCCAUUUAAGGGUUUAGUGGCGCAGCUAACGCAAUAAGUUCUCCGCCUGGGGAGUACGGCCGCAAGGCUAAAACUCAAAGGAAUUGACGGGGGCCCGCACAAGCGGUGGAGCAUGUGGUUUAAUUCGAUGCAACGCGAAGAACCUUACCUGCCCUUGACAUCCUCGGAACUUGGUAGAGAUACCUUGGUGCCUUCGGGAGCCG